Molecule: ribosomal RNA, 251 nt
Filed under: uncultured bacterium
Lineage: Bacteria
Description: partial 16S ribosomal RNA
Rfam family: Bacterial small subunit ribosomal RNA
Source: RNAcentral
UACAGAGGUCCCAAGCGUUGUUCGGAUUCAUUGGGCGUAAAGGGUGCGUAGGUGGCGCCGUAAGUCAGGUGUGAAAUCUCGGGGCUUAACUCCGAAACUGCAUUUGAUACUGCGGUGCUUGAGGACUGGAGAGGAGACUGGAAUUUACGGUGUAGCAGUGAAAUGCGUAGAGAUCGUAAGGAAGACCAGUGGCGAAGGCGGUCUCUGGACAGUUCCUGACACUGAGGCACGAAGGCCAGGGAGCAAACGGG